AUUGAACGCUGGCGGCAGGCCUAACACAUGCAAGUCGAGCGGAUGAAGGGAGCUUGCUCCUGGAUUCAGCGGCGGACGGGUGAGUAAUGCCUAGGAAUCUGCCUGGUAGUGGGGGAUAACGUCCGGAAACGGGCGCUAAUACCGCAUACGUCCUGAGGGGGAAAGUGGGGGAUCUUCGGACCUCACGCUAUCAGAUGAGCCUAGGUCGGAUUAGCUAGUUGGUGGGGUAAAGGCCUACCAAGGCGACGAUCCGUAACUGGUCUGAGAGGAUGAUCAGUCACACUGGAACUGAGACACGGUCCAGACUCCUACGGGAGGCAGCAGUGGGGAAUAUUGGACAAUGGGCGAAAGCCUGAUCCAGCCAUGCCGCGUGUGUGAAGAAGGUCUUCGGAUUGUAAAGCACUUUAAGUUGGGAGGAAGGGCAGUAAGUUAACACCUUGCUGUUUUGACGUUACCAACAGAAUAAGCACCGGCUAACUUCGUG
This 484-nucleotide ribosomal RNA is filed under the name uncultured bacterium. Its description in RNAcentral is "partial 16S ribosomal RNA". It matches the Rfam family "Bacterial small subunit ribosomal RNA", at positions 30 to 507 of the family's 1533-position model. The record is from RNAcentral.